Non-coding RNA from Oryctolagus cuniculus (rabbit), 2254 nucleotides. The record is from RefSeq and is a predicted model, not a curated record. Lineage: Eukaryota; Metazoa; Chordata; Mammalia; Lagomorpha; Leporidae.
GCCUGGCUUUCAGCAGAUAAUGAUGCCUUUAAUUACAGAACAAACAGAACAAAGGAUCCACUGGGGAGGUGAGAGGGAGAGUCAAACUGACUACUUAGAAACGCUGCUUGGGUUUUCACUUCCACCUGCUUGCUUCAGUUACAAAUUAGGAGCAGGGGGCUUUAAUACAAUUUUGGUCAACAUUUUCCUAGCGUCAUAUCCCACUCCGCAACAACUCCAGCCAUGGUGACAGAGCCACUCCGCACUCCCCCAGCAUGCCCCUGUUGCCCCUUUGUUUUGUCAUUGUUGGUGCUGCUCAGUCAUUCACUCAGCAAGCAUUUCCAGGGCUCCUUCUCUGACCUGGACUCUGGGCAGUGAGAAGACACAGCCCUUGCUCUCCUUAGACAGGUGGUCUAGGGUUAGCUCCACGAACCAGCCAACGUCAACCAGAAAACGACACAAGGAACUGGAAACUUCAGAGGUGCUGCCUGCUACAGAGGGAGGGACAGUGCUCCAGAGAGGAAUCCAGAAGAAAUCACUCUAAUCGUGAGUUUCUCAGCAGCAUCUGCGAGCUGGAUACCAUGCUGAGAAUGCAGGGAUAUGUGUAAGACCACACAAAGGCAAGCCGUGACACAGGACAAGAGAAGCGCACUUACCAUGAGCUCCAAAGCUGAACUGGUUAUAAUGCAGAAACACUCACCCACUUGCAACAGAAGAGGCAACCAAUAAGUACUCAGUGAAUGAAUGAAACAACUGAGAUAAAUCUGGGUAUUCAAAAAGAAAGGUCAGCAACCGGAGAGCAGUCUCUGUGUGCUCUACCAUCCUACCAGCACCCUACGACGUGCACCAACUGUGUGCUCAGUGCCCAGCCAUAAAUCUCAUGUGCACCAGAGAACUCAAAAUCUAGUAAGAAAUAAAUCAAGUCAACGUGAAGAGUACAACCCAAUGAAUCACACCUGAGCAGGCAGCUCACACUGACACUCUCGGGCUGCAAUCAAAACAGUAACUGCGCGAGUGAUCAUGUAGGCUGGCAGGUGACUUCACACUGUGACAAGGUAGAGGGAGGAGUGACUACAGAAGAAUGACCAGAGGAGCAGGCGUUUGGCGCAGUGCUUAAGUUGCUGCUUGGGAUGCCCAAAGUGCCUGGGCACAAGUCUCACCUCUGCUUCUGAUACAGCUUCCUGAUCGUGUGCAUCCUGGGAAGGACCAGAUGACAGCUCAAGUGCUUGGCUUCCUGCACCAUGUGGGAGACCUGGAUGGAGUCCCAGCUCCUGGUUUUGGAAUGCCUCAAAACUGGCUAUUGCAGGCAUUUGGGGAGUAAACCAGCAGAUGGAAGAACUCUCUCUCUCUCUCUCUCUCUCUCUCUCCCUUUCUCUUUCUCUCUCUGUAACAUGUCUUGUCAUUUGCUUUGAAGAUGGAAAAACGGGGCCACUUGCCAAGGGCUACAAGCAGCCUUUAAAUGCUGGAAAAUGCAAAGAGACCAAGAGCCUCCAGAAAGGCACUCAGCCUUGCUUAUACCUGAUUUGAUCCAAAUGAGACCCAUGUCAGAUAUCUGACCUACAGAACUGUAAAAUAAUAACUUUGGGUGGUUUUAAGCCAAUAAAUGUGUUUAGAGCAGUAAGAAAUAUUUACUUAAAGAUAUGAUCUAGAAAAACUAAAAUGGAAGAUAAGAAAAUGAAAUAGUGGUCAGCAUUUGUCGGAGUGGUUUAAGAUACUACACAUCCUAUAUGAGAGUGACUGGGUUCAAGUCCCUGGUUCUGCUUCCAAUUCUAGCUUCCUACUAACGGGCACUCUGGGAAUCAGCAGAUGGUGGUUCAACUACUUGAAUCCCUGCCAGCCACAGAGGUGACCUGGGUUAAUUCCUGGUUCCUGGCUUUGUCCUGGUCUCAGCCCACCCCAUCCCACAAGUGAUUGGGUCAUUUAGAGAAUCAACCAGAAGAUGGGGGUUCUUUCUCUCUCUUUUUCUGUGUGUGUGUGUCUCUAUCUCUGCCUUUCAAAUAAAAAUAAAUUAAAAAUAUUUUUAAAAUACUCCUAUACCAAAUAUCUUCAAAAAGUUCAUAGAAAAUACAGACCAAAAAAUUAUGCAUGGAUUUCAAAACAUUUUUGCACCAAAACAAACCUAUCUUUUAAUUCCAUUUUACCAUAUUCUUAAGUACCCUCACAUGAUUCAAGAUAACAUGGAAGUCAUUCAGAAAUAAAAUGUAUAGACCAGUCUGAUGGCUAUGCAGCCGAUCUAGUGAGCAUUCUGGCAAAGUGAGGAUAGAAGGUUUAUGAA